UACAGAGGGGGCAAGCGUUGUUCGGAUUUACUGGGCGUAAAGGGCGCGUAGGCGGCGUGUUAAGUCAGUUGUGAAAUCUCCAAGCUUAACUUGGAACGGUCAACUGAUACUGAUGUGCUAGAGUGCAGAAGGGGCAACCGGAAUUCUUGGUGUAGCGGUGAAAUGCGUAGAUAUCAAGAGGAACACCUGAGGUGAAGACGGGUUGCUGGGCUGACACUGACGCUGAGGCGCGAAAGCUAGGGUAGCAAACGGG
RNAcentral lists this ribosomal RNA (253 nucleotides) under uncultured bacterium. Its description in RNAcentral is "partial 16S ribosomal RNA". It matches the Rfam family "Bacterial small subunit ribosomal RNA", at positions 524 to 776 of the family's 1533-position model. The record is from RNAcentral.